RNAcentral lists this long non-coding RNA (1074 nucleotides) under Parus major (Great Tit). RNAcentral describes it as "lncRNA (ENSPMJG00000004966.1)". Lineage: Eukaryota; Metazoa; Chordata; Aves; Passeriformes; Paridae. The record is from RNAcentral.
CUCCAAACAUUAAGAUCUGCAAAGUUAGCUGGACACAUCCAGAAAAUUUACUGCAAAAUCUUUAGCAACAGCAUAAAUAGCACAGAGCAGACCCUUUCAUCACCAUUUAUUUCCAGUUUCAGUAAUAUCUAAGCCAAAAAAUGCAAGAACUGAAAUUAAUUUAAUCAGCUGCUGUUCUUAUUUGAGUUGAAUCAAUAUUCAAAUUUGUGUAUCUGCAUUUGAAAGCACCUGCCCUUUGACUUUUUAGCAGAAGUUUAUUCAAUCAUGCAGUGCCUUUGAUAACCCCAUCUUUUCUUCUUGCUGGCUUUCAGUUCCUCUAGAAAAGAUUCAGGUUUACCUCUGCCCUUGUUUAUUCUCAUUUGCCAUGGGUAAUGAUGGAGAUAGAUGGAUGUUUGUCAGAGCUGCAUUUUGUAGUCCCCAUGGUUGAUAAAUGUUCCUGGUCAAAGGCCAUGACAUUUAAGAAUCCUCCACAAGACCUCUGAGAUUUAGUCCGUGUACAGGGGAGAUGUUGAGAACUUCACGUCUAAAUUCACUGAUAUUUUAGCAGGGGGAAAACUAUAAAGAAAGAAAAAUUUCACCAGUGAAAUUAAUAUUCUAAUGAGAAAAAUCCAUUAUAGACUUAGAAGCAUGCUCUGUUCAAAUUUUAAGCACACCUUUCAAAGCCAUGUUCCAAUCUGAAGCACUGUGAGGGAUGAGAAUGACAAAUUGAAAUGCUUCAGUCACAAAGGACUCAACUUUUACUUCCUCCCCCACCCCACACCCAGUUACUGAGUGAAAGUAGGUUUUAAACAUCAAGGAGACAAUUUUUACAUGAUGGUUCCCCACAAAAAAUAUUUGAAUUCAUUACAUAUAUGUAACUAUUCACUACCCUUCAGGUGUGCAAAGCACCUGCUCUUGGCACACACACUGAUACACAUUAUUUACCAUGAGGAGUUUUGGCCAACAAUGUGUAUCCAUCAUCCAUCCAUCCAUCAUCCAUCCAUCAUCCAUCCAUCAUCCAUCCAUCAUCCAUCCAUCCAUCCAUCCAUCCAUCCAUCCAUCCCUGCAUCCAUCCACCAUCCAUCCAUCCAUCCA